Molecule: transfer RNA, 76 nt
Filed under: Enterocloster clostridioformis
Lineage: Bacteria; Bacillati; Bacillota; Clostridia; Lachnospirales; Lachnospiraceae
Also listed under: 31 other names
Description: [Clostridium] clostridioforme tRNA-Val
Rfam family: tRNA
About the family: Transfer RNA (tRNA) molecules are approximately 80 nucleotides in length. Their secondary structure includes four short double-helical elements and three loops (D, anti-codon, and T loops).
Source: RNAcentral
GGGGUCUUAGCUCAGCUGGGAGAGCAUCUGCCUUACAAGCAGAGGGUCACAGGUUCGAGCCCUGUAGGCCCCACUA